UACAGAGGGGGCAAGCGUUGUUCGGAAUUACUGGGCGUAAAGGGCGCGUAGGCGGCCCGCUAAGUCGAACGUGAAAUCCCCGGGCUUAACCCGGGAACUGCGUCCGAUACUGGCAGGCUUGAAUCCGGGAGAGGGAUGUGGAAUUCCAGGUGUAGCGGUGAAAUGCGUAGAUAUCUGGAGGAACACCGGUGGCGAAGGCGGCAUCCUGGACCGGUAUUGACGCUGAGGCGUGAAAGCUAGGGGAGCAAACGGG
This 253-nucleotide ribosomal RNA is filed under the name uncultured bacterium. RNAcentral describes it as "partial 16S ribosomal RNA". It matches the Rfam family "Bacterial small subunit ribosomal RNA", at positions 524 to 776 of the family's 1533-position model. The record is from RNAcentral.